Molecule: ribosomal RNA, 253 nt
Filed under: uncultured bacterium
Lineage: Bacteria
Description: partial 16S ribosomal RNA
Rfam family: Bacterial small subunit ribosomal RNA
Source: RNAcentral
UACAGAGGGGGCAAGCGUUAUUCGGAAUUACUGGGCGUAAAGGGCUCGUAGGCGGCCAACUAAGUCAGACGUGAAAUCCCUCGGCUUAACCGGGGAACUGCGUCUGAUACUGGAUGGCUAGAGUUUGGGAGAGGGAUGCGGAAUUCCAGGUGUAGCGGUGAAAUGCGUAGAUAUCUGGAGGAACACCGGUGGCGAAGGCGGCAUCCUGGACCAACACUGACGCUGAGGAGCGAAAGCCAGGGGAGCAAACGGG